GGUUGACCUCGGAUCAGGUACGGAUACCCGCUGAACUUAAGCAUAUCAAUAAGCGGAGGAAAAGAAACCAACAGGGAUUGCCUCAGUAACGGCGAGUGAAGCGGCAAGAGCUCAAAUUUGAAAGCUGGCCCCUUCGGGGUCCGCAUUGUAAUUUGCAGAGGAUGCUUCGGGUGCAGCCCCCGUCUAAGUUGCCCUGGAACGGGCCGUCAUAGAGGGUGAGAAUCCCGUCUGGGACGGGGUGUCUGCGUCCGUGUGAAGCUCCUUCGACGAGUCGAGUUGUUUGGGAAUGCAGCUCUAAAUGGGUGGUAAAUUUCAUCUAAAGCUAAAUACUGGCCGGAGACCGAUAGCGCACAAGUAGAGUGAUCGAAAGAUGAAAAGCACUUUGAAAAGAGAGUUAAACAGCACGUGAAAUUGUUGAAAGGGAAGCGUUUGCGACCAGACUCGCCCGCGGGGUUCAGCCGGCAUUCGUGCCGGUGUACUUCCCCGUGGGCGGGCCAGCGUCGGUUUGGGCGGCCGGUCAAAGGCCCUCGGAAUGUAUCACCCCUCGGGGUGUCUUAUAGCCGAGGGUGCAAUGCGGCCUGCCCGGACCGAGGAACGCGCUUCGGCUCGGACGCUGGCGUAAUGGUCGUAAAUGACC
This 637-nucleotide ribosomal RNA is filed under the name Aspergillus spinosus. RNAcentral describes it as "eukaryotic LSU rRNA". It matches the Rfam family "Eukaryotic large subunit ribosomal RNA", at positions 1 to 649 of the family's 3401-position model. The record is from RNAcentral. Lineage: Eukaryota; Fungi; Ascomycota; Eurotiomycetes; Eurotiales; Aspergillaceae.